AGCUCAGGACGAACGCUGGCGGCGUGCCUAAUACAUGCAAGUCGAGCGGACAGAAGGGAGCUUGCUCCCGGAUGUUAGCGGCGGACGGGUGAGUAACACGUGGGUAACCUGCCUGUAAGACUGGGAUAACUCCGGGAAACCGGAGCUAAUACCGGAUAGUUCCUUGAACCGCAUGGUUCAAGGAUGAAAGACGGUUUCGGCUGUCACUUACAGAUGGACCCGCGGCGCAUUAGCUAGUUGGUGAGGUAACGGCUCACCAAGGCGACGAUGCGUAGCCGACCUGAGAGGGUGAUCGGCCACACUGGGACUGAGACACGGCCCAGACUCCUACGGGAGGCAGCAGUAGGGAAUCUUCCGCAAUGGACGAAAGUCUGACGGAGCAACGCCGCGUGAGUGAUGAAGGUUUUCGGAUCGUAAAGCUCUGUUGUUAGGGAAGAACAAGUGCAAGAGUAACUGCUUGCACCUUGACGGUACCUAACCAGAAAGCCACGGCUAACUACGUGCCAGCAGCCGCGGUAAUACGUAGGUGGCAAGCGUUGUCCGGAAUUAUUGGGCGUAAAGGGCUCGCAGGCGGUUUCUUAAGUCUGAUGUGAAAGCCCCCGGCUCAACCGGGGAGGGUCAUUGGAAACUGGGAAACUGAGGCAGAAGAUUGAGUGCAGAAGAGGAGAGUGGAAUUCCACGUGUAGCGGUGAAAUGCGUAGAGAUGUGGAGGAACACCAGUGGCGAAGGCGACUCUCUGGUCUGUAACUGACGCUGAGGAGCGAAAGCGUGGGGAGCGAACAGGAUUAGAUACCCUGGUAGUCCACGCCGUAAACGAUGAGUGCUAAGUGUUAGGGGGUUUCCGCCCCUUAGUGCUGCAGCUAACGCAUUAAGCACUCCGCCUGGGGAGUACGGUCGCAAGACUGAAACUCAAAGGAAUUGACGGGGGCCCGCACAAGCGGUGGAGCAUGUGGUUUAAUUCGAAGCAACGCGAAGAACCUUACCAGGUCUUGACAUCCUCUGACAACCCUAGAGAUAGGGCUUUCCCUUCGGGGACAGAGUGACAGGUGGUGCAUGGUUGUCGUCAGCUCGUGUCGUGAGAUGUUGGGUUAAGUCCCGCAACGAGC
This 1106-nucleotide ribosomal RNA is filed under the name Bacillus sp. (in: firmicutes). RNAcentral's name for it is "bacterial SSU rRNA". It matches the Rfam family "Bacterial small subunit ribosomal RNA", at positions 21 to 1097 of the family's 1533-position model. Lineage: Bacteria; Bacillati; Bacillota; Bacilli; Caryophanales; Bacillaceae. The record is from RNAcentral.